Zonotrichia leucophrys gambelii is the source of this 305-nucleotide long non-coding RNA. RefSeq lists it as uncharacterized. Lineage: Eukaryota; Metazoa; Chordata; Aves; Passeriformes; Passerellidae. The transcript is spliced from 3 exons. The record is from RefSeq and is a predicted model, not a curated record.
CUACCAAAAUUUCUGCAGCUGUUGAUAUUGUCCCGAGUGUGGGCUCCAGGUGUGCAGCACAAAGUCACACGUCAAGGCAAGAUGUUUCUAUUGGUAAUUCCACUGUGUGCAAAGAGAAUAUUUUUUGGAUGUUGACAGAGCCAAAAAAAGCUUAAGGAAAUUCCAAGGCACUCAACCCAUUUCUAAGAUAAGUAGUGCUUAUCCUAAGUCAAGGACUCUUCAGCAUCUUGUGCUCUGUCAGGGAGGAGCUGCACAAAAAGAUGGGAAGGAGCACAGCCAGAACAGGUGACACAAACAGGCCAAAG